Molecule: small nuclear RNA, 104 nt
Organism: Phyllostomus discolor (pale spear-nosed bat)
Lineage: Eukaryota; Metazoa; Chordata; Mammalia; Chiroptera; Phyllostomidae
Source: RefSeq, a predicted model, not a curated record
AUGCUCACUACAGCAACAUAUACACUAAAACUGGAACAACACAGAGACGAUUACGUGGCCCCUGAGCAAGGAUGACACAAAUCUGUGAAGCAGUCCAUAUUUUG